This is a long non-coding RNA of Mauremys reevesii (Reeves's turtle), 854 nucleotides long. RefSeq lists it as uncharacterized. NCBI's taxonomy places the organism in Eukaryota, Metazoa, Chordata, Testudines, Geoemydidae. The transcript has 3 exons. The record is from RefSeq and is a predicted model, not a curated record.
UCUAGUGUUGGCCAACACACUCUGUCAGUCUGUCCUUGCCUCUUUUUCUGCUGUUUCACUUCAUUGCACACAGGUAGGUGAGUUAGCUGUGUAUCCCCAGAGGCCAGGUCUUGGGAAGCAUGGCGAAGUAGGAGAGGACGAAAAUAAUGCAGGGAAGUGGGUGUGAGAGUGGAGGCAGGUACUGGAAGGUCUUGUGCACCUGUAGUGUUUUUGGCAGUGAUGGCUUUUCCAUAGGUGGUUUGCUGUUCUUGCAGAGGGCAGCGGAGCAUCUGCAGGAAGCGGACCUGCACAAUCUAGCUGUUUAGCUUUGCAGUGCAGCCGAGGAGCGCUCUUGUAAUGUUGGAGGAGCAGUCGUACUGAGAUUGGUCAGAUGAGAGAUCGGCCAACCUGUGGCAGAGACCAAGGAAGGAACAGCCACCCGGAGCCCAUCCCUAGGGAUGGAAGCCGGACAAUGAUCUGCAGAUACCACGGAGAAAGAAGUGAAGGGUAAGAGCCCACCCCCGUUGUGAGAUGGAAAGCACCAAGAGCCGUGAGACCACAAGCGUUGUCGAUGCCAGCCUAUGGCGAUGCCGUCGAUCUGGGAGUGGAGCAGCCGUCACCAUCAGUGAGAUAAGUGUCUGGUUUGGGGAGGACUCCGGUAACGGCCCACCUGCCUCCAGGCUGAGACUUGUCAUUAGCUGGGGCUCGGUUUGUAGGAAAAGAUUCCUGACCUGCUGUGGUUACGAGGGAGACAAGGUCCCCAUUUUCAGGGGCAGGUCUUUUCUCUGUCCACAAACAGUGUGUCCUACGCAGCAGAAGGUUGGAUCGAGGAGGAUGACUCCAGCUGUUGAGUUUCUUGACUCCAUCCCACAUUU